UAUAAUGAAUCUACAAAAAUAAGCAUUGCUCUAUAGAUAAAUGAUAGAAAAAUAAAUGUUUCAACUUCAUAUGGUUUCUAUCAGUUUGAAGAACUUUGACUAAUAAACUGGCUCAGGCAGGAUAUUUCUUUGAAUAUAAAGUGCUCAGGUGUCAGGCCUUGUGGUUUAAGAAAGCUGAGUAAAACAACCUGAAUGCAUGGAAUAUAAUGAAAACUCAAAGACAAUGAAUACAGAAGAAAUGCUUCUAGAAACAAGAGGAGGACACUUUAAAUGUGGGUAUAGUAUAAUAAGCCAAUAUGGCCAUGUGAAGUUGCUUCAUUGAUAAGACAACUAGCAUUGCCUUGGUGAUGAGGUGGCAGGAUGCAAGGGCCUAUCACAAGCUGUGGACCAUCCACCAACACCAAAGGACAUGGACAGUAAUACUGUGUUGGUCAAUUCCAGUGAGGUGUUUCAGAGAGCCAUGAUGAUACAGGUCCUCAGAACGUGCCAGCACUCUUUAAGCCUGUGUGUUUGCCUAUAAUAGAUGACUUUCCUGAAUAAUGCCUUGCACAUUGCCAAAAUUUUAUGGCCAAACUGUUGUUAGGAUGACUGAAUUCCUGUCAGUAAUGCCAGGAUGUUCUCUUAUUACAGUUCAGAUCCAUGGUUUUAACUGUAGUGUGUUGUUCUUAGAACCAAAGACAAAAUCUCUGAUGCUGCCUAACUAUCUGUCUAAUGAACUCCUAACACAAUACCAAGAUGUGAACUCGGUGAUUCUAUUGAGCAGAUGAAAAGGUCAAAACACCGUCCAACAUUAUCUUGGAACAGCAGCCAUAGGUGCAUCAGCAGAAGGCAGCACUGGCACAGGAGCUCCUGGCCCCGUGAACAAAGAGAAUCUCCAUGGGGGUGGUAGUGGCUAGGAGCUCAAGAAACAUGGGCUCAGCCAGUAGCCCUGCACCUCACCACUUUCACCUCAGGCAAGUGUUGGAGCUGGAGCCCAUUUCAUCCCCAGGUGCGUUAGUCUAGUAGUGGGCAGGCUUAGGAGGUAUCUUCCUAGAGAGCCACUCUAGGUCCAGGCCUCCUCUCUCCCAGGACUCCUUCCCACCCUUCCUGAACCAAAAGUCACCUUAGGGGUUUCAGGCAGCUGGAACUUGCCUGCCCUUGAGCAUUAGUGAGGUAGUACUGCUCCUGGGUACCGAGGUAAAUAUUUUCAUAUAGUGAGCCAAGUAGAGAAACUUUGGCUUUCUUCUACGUUUGUGUUAACAGUUUGGAACUAGGACCAUGUUGAGGGUGAGCAGAGUAAG
RNAcentral lists this long non-coding RNA (1280 nucleotides) under Oryctolagus cuniculus (rabbit). RNAcentral describes it as "lncRNA (ENSOCUG00000038524.1)". The record is from RNAcentral. Lineage: Eukaryota; Metazoa; Chordata; Mammalia; Lagomorpha; Leporidae.